AUUGAACGCUGGCGGCAUGCCUAACACAUGCAAGUCGAGCGGAUGAAUGGAGCUUUCUCCUGUAUUCAGCUGCCGACGGGUGAGUAAUUCCUAGGUAUCUACCUUGUCUUUGGGGAUAACGUCCGUUAACGGGCCCUAAGCCCACACCGGUCAUUAUGUUGAACCGCGUGGUUCUUCGGUCCUCGCCUUUUUUGCUGUCCCUGGGUCGGAUUAGCUAGUUGGUUAGGUAAGGGCUUACCAAGGCGACGAUCCGUAACUGGUCUGAGAGGAUGAUCAGUCACACUGGAACUGAGACACGGUCCAGACUCCUACGGGAGGCAGCAGUGGGGAAUAUUGCACAAUGGGCGAAAGCCUGAUCCAGCCAUGCCGCGUGUGUGAAGAAGGUCUUCGGAUUGUAAAGCACUUUAAGUAGGGAGGAAGGGAAGUAAGAUAAUAUCUGGAUGUUUUGACGUUACCAACAGAAAAAGCACCGGCUAACUUCGUG
RNAcentral lists this ribosomal RNA (484 nucleotides) under uncultured bacterium. RNAcentral's name for it is "partial 16S ribosomal RNA". It matches the Rfam family "Bacterial small subunit ribosomal RNA", at positions 30 to 507 of the family's 1533-position model. The record is from RNAcentral.